Molecule: non-coding RNA, 312 nt
Organism: Pelobates cultripes (western spadefoot toad)
Lineage: Eukaryota; Metazoa; Chordata; Amphibia; Anura; Pelobatidae
Source: the annotation of a GenBank genome assembly
AAUAUAGACAAUGAUCAUUAAAUAUUUCUUAUUAUUAUAAUGUUAUAUCACACUCAAUCAAAGUAGACCUUUUAUGUUUAAAAGUGGCAGCCAUCUUGUUCGCAUGAACGCAGGCAGCAGUGUUUGGGCAUGAAUCUCGUGAAACUGAAAUCGGAUACAGAAACUCCCGAACAUCGCUGGACUUCCAUCAUCGCCUGCGUUCGGUUCUAUUCAACUUAGAAGGGUACUGUUCGGUGGGAUCAUUCGUCUGGAUGAAGGGAACAAACUCCAGGGUAAGACUAUUGACUCUGUUCGGUAGUUUGCUCAUUUUCA